CCUACGGGGGGCUGCAGUGGGGAAUAUUGCACAAUGGGCGCAAGCCUGAUGCAGCCAUGCCGCGUGUGUGAAGCAGGCCUUCGGGUUGUAAAGCACUUUCAGCGGGGAGGAAGGCGUUAAGGUUAAUAACCUUGGCGAUUGACGUUACCCGCAGAAGAAGCACCGGCUAACUCCGUGCCAGCAGCCGCGGUAAUACGGAGGGUGCAAGCGUUAAUCGGAAUUACUGGGCGUAAAGCGCACGCAGGCGGUCUGUCAAGUCGGAUGUGAAAUCCCCGGGCUCAACCUGGGAACUGCAUUCGAAAAUGGCAGGCUAGAGUCUUGUAGAGGGGGGUAGAAUUCCAGGUGUAGCGGUGAAAUGCGUAGAGAUCUGGAGGAAUACCGGUGGCGAAGGCGGCCCCCUGGACAAAGACUGACGCUCAGGUGCGAAAGCGUGGGGAGCAAACAGGAUUAGAUACCCGAGUAGUC
RNAcentral lists this ribosomal RNA (465 nucleotides) under uncultured Klebsiella sp. Its description in RNAcentral is "bacterial SSU rRNA". It matches the Rfam family "Bacterial small subunit ribosomal RNA", at positions 338 to 795 of the family's 1533-position model. Lineage: Bacteria; Pseudomonadati; Pseudomonadota; Gammaproteobacteria; Enterobacterales; Enterobacteriaceae. The record is from RNAcentral.